This 102-nucleotide small nuclear RNA is filed under the name Microcebus murinus (gray mouse lemur). The record is from RNAcentral. Lineage: Eukaryota; Metazoa; Chordata; Mammalia; Primates; Cheirogaleidae.
GUGUUCGCUUCGGCAGCACAUAUACUAAAAUUGGAACGAUACAGAGAAGAUUAGCAUGGUCUCUGUGCAAGGAUGACAUGCAAAUUUGUGAAGCAUUCAUUU